Non-coding RNA from Felis catus (domestic cat), 85 nucleotides. NCBI's taxonomy places the organism in Eukaryota, Metazoa, Chordata, Mammalia, Carnivora, Felidae. The record is from Rfam.
GCCUGGGUGGCUCAGUCGGUUGAGCGUCCGACUUCAGCUCAGGUCAUGAUUUCGCAGUUUGUGGGUUCAAGCCCCACAUCGGGCU